UUAAAAAAAAAGAAAAAGAAAAAGCGAUGGG
This 31-nucleotide non-coding RNA is filed under the name Mus musculus (house mouse). Lineage: Eukaryota; Metazoa; Chordata; Mammalia; Rodentia; Muridae. The record is from RNAcentral.